GUGCUCACUUCGGCAGCACAUAUACUAAAACUGGAACAAUACAGAGAUGAUUAGCAUAGCCCCUGCGCAACGAUAACACACAAAUUCGUGAAGCGUUCCAUUUUUUU
RNAcentral lists this small nuclear RNA (107 nucleotides) under Erinaceus europaeus (western European hedgehog). The record is from RNAcentral. Lineage: Eukaryota; Metazoa; Chordata; Mammalia; Eulipotyphla; Erinaceidae.